CAGCAGCCGCGGUAAUACGGAGGGGGCUAGCGUUGUUCGGAAUUACUGGGCGUAAAGCGCACGUAGGCGGCUUUCUAAGUCAGAGGUGAAAGCCCGGGGCUCAACCCCGGAAUUGCCUUUGAGACUGGAUCGCUUGAACUCGGGAGAGGUGAGUGGAAUUCCGAGUGUAGAGGUGAAAUUCGUAGAGAUGUGGAGGGACACCAGUGGCGAAGGCGACUCUCUGGUCUGUAACUGACGCUGAGGAGCGAAAGCGUGGGGAGCGAACAGGAUUAGAUACCCGCGUAGUCCCUGUCUCUUAUAC
This 301-nucleotide ribosomal RNA is filed under the name uncultured bacterium. Its description in RNAcentral is "partial 16S ribosomal RNA". It matches the Rfam family "Bacterial small subunit ribosomal RNA", at positions 509 to 807 of the family's 1533-position model. The record is from RNAcentral.